RNAcentral lists this ribosomal RNA (440 nucleotides) under uncultured bacterium. RNAcentral's name for it is "partial 16S ribosomal RNA". It matches the Rfam family "Bacterial small subunit ribosomal RNA", at positions 338 to 795 of the family's 1533-position model. The record is from RNAcentral.
CCUACGUGGUGCAGCAGUGGGGAAUAUUGCACAAUGGGGGAAACCCUGAUGCAGCGACGCCGCGUGAGUGAAGAAGUAUUUCGGUACGGAAAACUCUAUCAGCAGGGAAGAAAAUUACGGUACCUGCCUAAGAAGCCCCGGCUAACUACGCGCCAGCAGCCGCGGUAAUACGUAAGGGGCAAGCGUUAUCCGGAUUUACUGGGUGUAAAGGGAGCGUAGACGGCAGCGCAAGUCUGAAGUGAAAUCCCAUGGCUUAACCAUGGAACUGCGUUGGAAACUGUGCAGCUGGAGUGCAGGAGAGGUAAGCGGAAUUCCUAGUGUAGCGGUGAAAUGCGUAGAUAGUAGGAGGAACACCAGUGGCGAAGGCGGCUUACUGGACUGUAACUGACGUUGAGGCUCGAAAGCGUGGGGAGCAAACAGGAUUAGAUACCCGUGUAGUC